UUAAACAGUGUUUGUGAGUAUUUUUAUAUCUUGUGCUAAAUAAUAAAUUUUAUAAGAUGCCGAAAACUAAUGCCGAAAUGUGUCGUCAACAUCGACGAAAAAAAAAUGAAAAUAAAGUUAAAAUUAAAAAAAAUCCCGGAAAAAGUUCAACAGAACGUAGUCGCGAGUUUUGUGCGCGUAAAAAAUAAUUAUUGAACAAUCAAAAUAGAUGUCCAAACACAAGUGUUAAUGUGACUGAUGUAAUAAAUGACGUCCCUCAGCAACAAUUUAGUGUCCCAACGGGAUAUAAUUUAGUAAAUAAUGAUUAUAACCCUCCAGUAGAUGUACAGCCAGAAAUUCCAUACUCACGGUUUCGUCGAGAUAAGUUUGCUCACGAAGAAUUUCAAAACAAGUUUUUAAACAAUAUGUUUGGUCAUAAGUGCUCCGCUUGUGAUCGAUUGUGAUUUCAGAAAGAUUUAAAAUCACCACGUGCUGAAGAUGAACAAUUAUUAAGUGUAAUAGUUGAAAAUUAUAAUACAGUUAAAGAUAUUUUACUGUGCAACACGUGUUACCAAGCAAUUGUGAGGAAAGUGAGUCCUACAAUGUCUACUUAUAACAGUUUUAAAUAUGAAAAGACACCUGAGGUUUUACCACCGCUUGAUUUAAUUUCUGAUAGACUUGUUUCACCACGAGUUCCAUUUAUGCAAAUUAGACAAUUACGACAUGUUCAUGGGCAAUAUGGAAUUUAUGGACAAAUUGUCACGUAACGAUUCAAAUUAUCUAAUUUUGUUUAGUUAUAAGAUAAGUAUUUAGAUUAUAUAUUUGAAUUUGAGUCGUUACACGGGCAUUCCGCCAUUUCGCCGAUGGAGACAGCGGUCCGUGCACGAUGCUAGCGCGUGCGCGCUUAGUAUGAGAGAGCACGUGUGUGAAUUAAUUUUAUUUUAUAAUUUAAAAAUACAAACAAAAUUGAUCUUGUUAAUUUUAAGUUUAUGUUUAUGAUUUUGGUACAGUUGGGAUGCAUAAUCCAGUGCAACAUUAUGCCCCGACAUUUGAUUAAUAUAUUAUUUUAUUUAAACUUGUCAUCCGACUAAGGAUGUCAGUUUUGGUUUAGAAAAAUAUUGACCGCCGGGUAACGGUAAAUCGAUACCUUGGCUAUAUCCCCGACGUCAAUUUUAUAAUUUUUAAAUAAUUAUUAUUUCAGUUACCGGAUGAAAUCAAAAUAGGCAUAAGUUAUAAAUAGAUAGUUCAUAUAUUAAAUAAUUAUUCAUGUAUCAUUCAGGUAUUAAAGAAUUGUCUUUGUAUUUUAUAUUUUCAAUUUAAAACUAGGCCCAGGGCUAGUAAAAAUAAUUAGAAUAGUAAUUAAGGGCGACGGUGGCGCCAGGUGGACGACGACCAACAGGUGGAGGUCGGGAAAGUUAAAUUAGAAAGAUGCGGGCUAGCAUUGUGUGUGGACGCGAUCCUUUGUAUAACCGAUAAUUUAUAUUAUUUUCUGAAAAAGAAUAUAGUCGCUAGAAUUCACUGGGUGAAUUAGUUAAUACUUGUGUUGACGCCAUUAGUUUUGCUGAGUUAUUGCAAAUCUUUGAGUAAGUACUUUGGAUUUCUUUCACGGCAUAUAUUUUUCACGUGAUAACCUCCCCCCCCUCCCCCGGUAGUUAUUGGUCACCGCGGCGAGGGAAAUUAAUUUAGUAAUAAUUGAUACUGAAUGAUACAUGACUGAUAUUAUAAAUAAUGGUCGUUAAUUAUUGUUAGAUAAUUCGUUUAUUAUUGGUAAAAAUAUUCUGAUAUUUCUAUCUAUAUAUGUAUAUGUAUAUAUAAGUUAAGUACAACGUAG
Molecule: long non-coding RNA, 1810 nt
Organism: Microplitis demolitor
Lineage: Eukaryota; Metazoa; Arthropoda; Insecta; Hymenoptera; Braconidae
Exons: 3
Source: RefSeq, a predicted model, not a curated record